RNAcentral lists this transfer-messenger RNA (363 nucleotides) under Chromobacteriaceae. Its description in RNAcentral is "Craterilacuibacter sedimenti Standard tmRNA". It matches the Rfam family "transfer-messenger RNA". Rfam says of the family: Bacterial tmRNA, also known as 10Sa RNA or SsrA, is named for its dual tRNA and mRNA-like properties. Its role is to liberate the mRNA from a stalled ribosome. The record is from RNAcentral. Lineage: Bacteria; Pseudomonadati; Pseudomonadota; Betaproteobacteria; Neisseriales. RNAcentral also lists the same sequence under 2 other names.
GGGGCCGACCUGGUUUCGACGGGGGUUGCGAAGCGGAUGAGGGCAUACCGGGAUUUCAGUCACCCCGUAAAACGCUGAAAUGCAAUAGUCGCAAACGACGAAACUUACGCUCUGGCCGCUUAAUUGCGCCAGACACUGCAACGGUUCGCUGAUGGGCCGGGUGGGUCAAACCACUGCAGUGUCACUUUACAUCAGCUAGUCCCGAGCCGGGUUACCUGACCCGGGGCGAAACUCUAGGUAACUCGCCAAUGUCCAGCCUGUCCGUCGGCGUGGCAAAGGUUAAAUCCAAAUGGCGAGACUAAGUAUGUAGAACUCACUGUGUAGGAUUUCCGGACGCGGGUUCGAUUCCCGCCGGCUCCACCA